UAUACAAUGUAGAGUUUGAUCCUGGCUCAGGAUGAACGCUAGCUACAGGCUUAACACAUGCAAGUCGAGGGGCAGCAUGGGGGUUGCUUGCAACCCCUGAUGGCGACCGGCACACGGGUGAGUAACGCGUAUCCAACCGGCCCUUGUCCGCGGCACAGCCCGUCGAAAGGCGGAUUAAUGCCGCAUGCGGUCCGAAGACGGCAUCAGAUUCGGACGAAAGGCUUUGGCCGGAGAAGGAUGGGGAUGCGUCCGAUUAGCUUGACGGCGGGGUAACGGCCCACCGUGGCGACGAUCGGUAGGGGUUCUGAGAGGAAGGUCCC
This 320-nucleotide ribosomal RNA is filed under the name Escherichia coli. RNAcentral's name for it is "bacterial SSU rRNA". It matches the Rfam family "Bacterial small subunit ribosomal RNA", at positions 1 to 307 of the family's 1533-position model. The record is from RNAcentral. Lineage: Bacteria; Pseudomonadati; Pseudomonadota; Gammaproteobacteria; Enterobacterales; Enterobacteriaceae.